CUGUUCUGAAGUGCUUGGUGCCAGACCUCUGCCACAUCCCCAGGCUAAAACUUGCUUGUGCUUUGAAGAGAAGUGGUCUGUUUAAGGUCAAUAGCCUUGGGCCAGAAAUGAAUUCUCGAGCAGAGGCCUCAGCAGGUGAUGAGAAAGGCAUGAGAACAGGCUGGAAGGAGAAUGAGGCACCGAGAGGCCCAAGCUGAAAGAAAUAAAGACUUCCAGUACAUCACCCUGACAGUAAAGAGCGAAGGAAAAGUGACGUCUGAGAACUGCAAUGUGCUCUGCUUGAAGAAAAGGAAGUUGGGUUGUGAUAAUAUAAUUCUGGAUUCCAUGGAAUGUUGUGGCUCAUGGAAGAGGCAAGAGAUAAAAGACAGAGAAACAAUAUAGUG
This is a long non-coding RNA of Phacochoerus africanus (Common warthog), 383 nucleotides long. RefSeq lists it as uncharacterized. The transcript has 3 exons. The record is from RefSeq and is a predicted model, not a curated record. NCBI's taxonomy places the organism in Eukaryota, Metazoa, Chordata, Mammalia, Artiodactyla, Suidae.